This 1087-nucleotide long non-coding RNA is filed under the name Cyanistes caeruleus (blue tit). RNAcentral describes it as "lncRNA (ENSCCEG00000007546.1)". The record is from RNAcentral. Lineage: Eukaryota; Metazoa; Chordata; Aves; Passeriformes; Paridae.
ACAUUUAUGGCAAAUCAGGACGUGGCUCCCUCCUGAUAAAUGGGCUGAGAGGGCUCUGUCUAAUUCCUGGGUGAUAAAAACACCAAUUGCUGACAUUUCCCUCUGUUUUCCCUUCCUCUGACAUUUCAUUUAGGAGAAAACAACGCCAGCCACUCCAAAUGUGCUCUCAUUGACAUUUGCUGGCCCUGAUUAAGCCAGAGUUUGACAGGAAGGGGAUGUCCCUGUCCCCAGGAUCCCAAAAUCCCCCCAGGGAAUUCCUCCCAGGACAGGCUGAGCUGCUCCCAGCUCAGGAAUCACCUCAGCUCACCCCACCCAGCCCAAAUUAAACCAACCCCUCACUGCAGCCCGGCAGGAAAUCCAAUUUAUAGUCAUGCUAGGGACUCCAAUUACCACAGCCAUUAACAAUUUGUUAAUGAGUCAAUUAACAUGCUUUGGGAUCUAUGGAGAAAGGCCAUUAUAAAUAUGAUGGCAUCAAAUACUGCACAAAUAAAGAUUUGAGUGUGCCAGGGGCUGCUGCUGGGUGCAGGUGGGACCAGCUCCACUGAGAUCCUUCCCUGCCAGGACAGCCUGGAAGCUGCUGGGAUGGCCAGGAAUGCUGCUGGGAUGGCCAAAACCCUCCCAGGAUGGACACAAACCCUCCCAGGAUGGACACAAACCCUCCCAGGAUGGACACAAACCCCCCCAAGGAUGGACACAAACCCCCCAAGGAUGGACACAAACCCUCCUGGCACUCUCCAGACAGGAUCCCAAUUUAUUCCAGGGCAGCUUCCUGAGCUUUAUCCCUCCUCCAGCACCUCCAGGGUCACCAGAAUUCCCAAAAUCCAACAUUCCCAAAUCCCAUCCUGGAUCAGCUUCACCCACAGCCCCCUCUGGGCACAAAAUUGGGAUGAGAGGACACCGAGUUUAACCCUGGGAAUGUUUUCCCAUCAUCUGCCUCAAAAAAGGAAGGGAAUUGUUGGGAGCACCAAGAGCAUCUCGAGAGUGGGGUGACAUUGUCACCGCUGCUUCCAUGGAAACCGCGUUUGUUUCUCGGAGCUGUUCCAGCAUAAUUAAUAAAAACCUCCCCUGCACGUGGGCCCUGCUCUGA